RNAcentral lists this non-coding RNA (30 nucleotides) under Homo sapiens (human). The record is from RNAcentral. Lineage: Eukaryota; Metazoa; Chordata; Mammalia; Primates; Hominidae.
UGGGUCAGUCCACAUGAUUGCAGGAUUUCC